Molecule: small RNA, 19 nt
Filed under: Arabidopsis thaliana (thale cress)
Lineage: Eukaryota; Viridiplantae; Streptophyta; Magnoliopsida; Brassicales; Brassicaceae
Description: ATSL151120
Source: RNAcentral
UUUUUUUUUCCUUCUUCUG